AGAGUUUGAUCCUGGCUCAGGACGAACGCUGGCGGCGCGCUUAACACAUGCAAGUCGAACGCUCUCGUCUCUCUUCGGAGGGAUGGGGGAGUGGCGAACGGGUGCGUAACACGUGAGCAACCUGCCUUGGGGUGGGGGAUAACCUCGGGAAACCGGGGCUAAUACCGCAUGUGCUCUUCGGCCCACCUGGGCGGGAGAGCAAAGGUGCUUUCGGGCACUGCCUUGAGAGGGGCUCGCGGCGUAUCAGCUAGUUGGUGAGGUAAUGGCUCACCAAGGCAGCGACGCGUAGGGGGUCUGAGAGGAUGGCCCCCCACAUUGGGACUGAGAUACGGCCCAGACUCCUACGGGAGGCAGCAGUGGGGAAUCUUGCGCAAUGGGCGAAAGCCUGACGCAGCGACGCCGCGUGGGGGAAGAAGGCUUUCGGGUUGUAAACCCCUUUCAGGAGGGACGAAGCCACUCGGGUGAAUAGCCCAGAGGGUGACGGUACCUCCGGAAGAAGCCCCGGCUAACUACGUGCCAGCCGCCGCGGUAAUUC
This 535-nucleotide ribosomal RNA is filed under the name uncultured bacterium. Its description in RNAcentral is "bacterial SSU rRNA". It matches the Rfam family "Bacterial small subunit ribosomal RNA", at positions 8 to 526 of the family's 1533-position model. The record is from RNAcentral.